UACGAAGGGGGCUAGCGUUGCUCGGAAUCACUGGGCGUAAAGGGCGCGUAGGCGGCCAUUCAAGUCGGGGGUGAAAGCCUGUGGCUCAACCACAGAAUUGCCUUCGAUACUGUUUGGCUUGAGACCGGAAGAGGUAAGUGGAACUGCGAGUGUAGAGGUGAAAUUCGUAGAUAUUCGCAAGAACACCAGUGGCGAAGGCGGCUUACUGGUCCGGUUCUGACGCUGAGGCGCGAAAGCGUGGGGAGCAAACAG
Molecule: ribosomal RNA, 252 nt
Filed under: uncultured bacterium
Lineage: Bacteria
Description: partial 16S ribosomal RNA
Rfam family: Bacterial small subunit ribosomal RNA
Source: RNAcentral